AUUAGCAGAAAUAACCAUAGAUAAGUAAUAACGAGCACCGAGCAGUAAAUAACCAAACAAGUGAAUAAAUUUGCAGAGGCUACUUUAGCAAAAUGUCGAUUUUAUCUACAUUAAAUAACGCAAUUUUUAAAAGAACAUCGACUUUUGCUUUAGUUGUAGUAGGCUCGGUUUUUUUCUUUGAACGUGCGUUUGAUGUUGUAGCCGAUUCGAUUUUUGAUAAAAUCAAUGAAGGGAAACUUUGGAAACACAUUAAACACAACUAUGAAAAGUAAAUAGUAUAUGAAUGAUGUAAUGAAUGUAGAUAUAAUUUUAUGUACUUUUAUUUGUACAAAUAAACACUAAGUCAUAAAGA
This 352-nucleotide long non-coding RNA is filed under the name Agrilus planipennis (emerald ash borer). RNAcentral's name for it is "uncharacterized LOC112906808". The record is from RNAcentral. Lineage: Eukaryota; Metazoa; Arthropoda; Insecta; Coleoptera; Buprestidae.